GGGGCUGAUUCUGGAUUCGACGGGAUUUGCGAAACCCAAGGUGCAUGCCGAGGGGCGGUUGGCCUCGUAAAAAGCCGCAAAAAAAUAGUCGCAAACGACGAAAACUACGCUUUAGCAGCUUAAUAACCUGCUUAGAGCCCUCUCUCCCUAGCCUCCGCUCUUAGGACGGGGAUCAAGAGAGGUCAAACCCAAAAGAGAUCGCGCGGAUGCCCUGCCUGGGGUUGAAGCGUUAAAACGAAUCAGGCUAGUCUGGUAGUGGCGUGUCCGUCCGCAGGUGCCAGGCGAAUGUAAAGACAGACAAAGCAUGUAGUACCGAGGAUGUAGGAAUUUCGGACGCGGGUUCAACUCCCGCCAGCUCCACCA
RNAcentral lists this transfer-messenger RNA (363 nucleotides) under Salmonella enterica. It matches the Rfam family "transfer-messenger RNA". From Rfam's summary of the family: Bacterial tmRNA, also known as 10Sa RNA or SsrA, is named for its dual tRNA and mRNA-like properties. The record is from RNAcentral. Lineage: Bacteria; Pseudomonadati; Pseudomonadota; Gammaproteobacteria; Enterobacterales; Enterobacteriaceae.